RNAcentral lists this microRNA precursor (68 nucleotides) under Bombyx mori (domestic silkworm). Its description in RNAcentral is "mir-2774 microRNA precursor family". It matches the Rfam family "mir-2774 microRNA precursor family". Lineage: Eukaryota; Metazoa; Arthropoda; Insecta; Lepidoptera; Bombycidae. The record is from Rfam by way of RNAcentral.
ACAACAUAGGGACCGUCGGUCUAUCGAGCAAUGUCACCCACUCGGUGGAAGAUCUUUCCUUUCGUCGU